AUCCCUCAUUCCACCCCACACCCCCAUCCCCCAUCCCUCAUCCCACCCUCCCAUCCCCCACCCCCCAUCCCACCCUACUCCCCUUCCCACCCCGGCUCAAAUCACACUGACAGCAACCAUGAGGGGCUUGCUUAGCUAAAGCAGCUUUCCUUGUGGCAUGACUCUCUUCGUAAAGCAUUUGCAAGGUCCUAUCCUGAAGUGCACAUUAAAAGGCUGGGCUUUUACCUGAAGCUCUUGGGAACGUGUGAGCAGAGAACUCCUGGGCAUUGUCACUGGCAUCCCUGAGGGCUGGUGCAGUGGUGGCAGCAUUUACAGAGAUGUGGCCUUGCAAAGCAGUGUAAUUUGGCCUUCUCUGCCAGAAUCCAGUUUGCCUCUGGCGAUUUGCUACAGUGG
RNAcentral lists this long non-coding RNA (393 nucleotides) under Rattus norvegicus (Norway rat). RNAcentral describes it as "long non-coding RNA NONRATT013224". The record is from RNAcentral. Lineage: Eukaryota; Metazoa; Chordata; Mammalia; Rodentia; Muridae.